AACGUGUUAAUUUAAUGGUAAAAUGAUGUGCUACGGACACAUUUAUAUGGGUUCAAGUCCAAUACGCGUUU
This 71-nucleotide transfer RNA is filed under the name Penicillium decumbens. It matches the Rfam family "tRNA". From Rfam's summary of the family: Transfer RNA (tRNA) molecules are approximately 80 nucleotides in length. Their secondary structure includes four short double-helical elements and three loops (D, anti-codon, and T loops). The record is from Rfam by way of RNAcentral. Lineage: Eukaryota; Fungi; Ascomycota; Eurotiomycetes; Eurotiales; Aspergillaceae.